UUCAUGAACUACAAUAAACUAUGCGAGAAUUUUGCCCUUUGACCCUUUUCACUCUUGAUUGAGCUUCCACAUUCUAGUCCUUUUUCUUUUUAAGAAUGUAUUUUUAGUUUUGGACUUUAGAUGUGUCAGAAAAUGUUUUCGAUCUUAAAAAAAUUACAUUCCUUCUAAUUAUAAUUAUCUGCUGCUGGAUUAAACAUGGAACAAUGGGUUGUUUUUGUUGAUUAUCGUUUGAGGCCUUCUACAGUGGUAUGGUAAACUCUGUUUUUUUUAUUAUUAAUAAGCUUACUUUAAGUUUACACAAAACUGAUUUCAUUUUCACUUUGUAAAACAUGUGUAAUAGAAAUAGAGAUAUAAGGAAGAGACAAAUUAUUCCUCACAAUGGUCAUGUUAUGUCUUUGUCAAGAAGAAGAAAUAAUUUGGUAUUUGUUUACUUAUAUUGUACUCUCUAUUUUAAUAUAUUACAAUUUCUGCCACAUUAUACUUAUAUUAUUAUUGUUGAACAUAUAGAAAAUUGAGAUUGGUAAAAAUAUUGGACGAGCUGAAAUGUGGAAGAUCACACAUAAGAGGAAAAAUGGCACAUAUGUGAAUGAUGAGGCGCUGGAAAUUGGGGUAAGUGUUUGGACUGCUUUGAUGAUGAUGUAUUGAUCAUAGAAAUAUAUUGGACUGCUUUGAUGAUGAUGUAUUGAUCAUAGAAAUAUAUUGGACUGCUUUGAUGAUGAUGUAUUGAUCAUGAUGAUAUACUGGACUGCUUUAAUGAUGAUGUAUUGAUCAUAGAAAUAUAUUGGACUGCUUUGAUGACGAUGUAUUGAUCAUGAUGAUAUAUUGGAUUGCUUUGAUGAUGAUAUAUUGAUCAUAGAAAUAUAUUGGACUCCUUUGAUGAUGAUGUAUUGAUCAUAGAAAUAUAUUGGACUACUUUGAUGAUGAUGUAUUGAUCAUGAUGAUAUACUGGAUUACUUGCAUAAUAUAUUCUAACAAGUAUAUGUUGUUCUUUUGAUUAUUUUCAAUUUUAUCCAGGAAAAAAUUGAUGAACUAAUGUUGACAAAUCCAAGUAUAUGUUUAACACUUUGCUUGCAUAUAUUGCUUCAAGAAAAGAUAUUCCAGAACAUUUUGCUGCAAGGGCAGCUAAUUUGGUUCAUGCAUCCACCAAUGAGGUAUUAAUAUAUUUAAAUAUUUAUUGGUGUCUUUUAUUUUAUAAUUAUAAACAUACAAAUUCAUUAACUUAAAAUUAUUUAUUUCAGGCAUCAAAUUAUGGAAGUGGUGUUCCAUCACCUAAUCAAGUAAUAUGAUCAAGUGCUGGAAGCAAAACUAAUUAGGGAUGUAUGUUUUAAUUUUAAACUUGAUUAGGGAUGUAUGAAAUUUUUAUGUGUUUUAAUUUUCAAUUACAUAUAAACUUUUGAACAUUAUUAUGUGUAUUUUAAUUUUCAAUUACAUAUAAACUUUUGAACAUUACUAUGUGUGUUUUAAUUUUCAAUGAAAUGAAUGGAUGAUUA
RNAcentral lists this long non-coding RNA (1490 nucleotides) under Phaseolus vulgaris (common bean). Its description in RNAcentral is "long non-coding RNA (PVUL_LNC003491)". The record is from RNAcentral. Lineage: Eukaryota; Viridiplantae; Streptophyta; Magnoliopsida; Fabales; Fabaceae.